RNAcentral lists this ribosomal RNA (253 nucleotides) under uncultured bacterium. RNAcentral's name for it is "partial 16S ribosomal RNA". It matches the Rfam family "Bacterial small subunit ribosomal RNA", at positions 524 to 776 of the family's 1533-position model. The record is from RNAcentral.
UACGUAGGGUGCGAGCGUUAAUCGGAAUUACUGGGCGUAAAGCGUGCGCAGGCGGUUUUGUAAGCCAGAUGUGAAAUCCCCGGGCUUAACCUGGGAAUGGCAUUUGGGACUGCAAGGCUGGAGUUUGGCAGAGGAGACUGGAAUUCCUGGUGUAGCAGUGAAAUGCGUAGAGAUGUGGAGGAACACCGAUGGCGAAGGCAGCCCCCUGGGUCAACACUGACGCUCAUGCACGAAAGCGUGGGGAGCAAACAGG